GGCACCAUUAAAGCUCACACGGUUAAUUUCCUUGGUCCAACCUUUUUCGUUUUCAGAAAGAGUCAACAAGUGCUCUUCGAUUUCAAAUGUAAAUUCUGCCAUUUUCUUCUCCUUUUUUAGUUUCAUUAGUUUAUUCGUAAAAUCUUGUAGAUUUUAGGAAAAUUUUAUAUAAUAUUGAUAUAAAAGAAGGGAGGCCAAUAUGAGACAUAAAUUCCAGCAAGUUCUAAAUAAAAUACAUGAUUUUUUAAAUGGAUAUGACCAACCUGACCAGACUGAAACCAACUCCCUUACAGCCACUAUUGAAGAGGCUAUCCAGAAACAAACCGCUGUUCACCUUAUCUUGUCUGAGACAAGCUUUACAGGUGACAUCAUCAAAUAUGAUCAGCAAGGCCAGCAAAUUAUCGUGAAAAAUUUUUCCAAAAAUGUGAGCCGGAUUAUCCGUAUAAGCGAUAUUCAACGCCUGCGAUUUGUCCCCUCAACUGUCCAAACAGCCCAAAAAAAUAGAUUUAAGAAAGAGUGAGAUGUAGUUGCUUCAUCCCACUCUUUUUCUUAGCGAAUUUGUUCAAAAUGUAAAUGAACUGCAAUAUGAUCUCCAUAACCACUUCUUUCCAAGUCACGUUGUAAACGAUAGGAAAUGUAGUGUUCUGCAAUGGUAAUGUAACCUGCGCCCAAUAAACGAUGUUCAACCAUAGAUUGAAUCAUACUGAUAGUCGCACGUUCCACCUUGGCUUCUUGUAAAUCCAAAACUACCUUCUUAGUGACUUGAGCAAGAUUUUGACGCAAAUCAUCUGUCAAAACAUAAACAGUUUGGGCUGCCUUCAAGAUGGCUUGGUAAAUCUUAUCUGGAUUAAAUUCAGCAAUUUCGCCAUUACGUUUGAUUACUUGCAUAGGUUUCUCCUUUAUUCUUUGUUUUCUUUGAUUUCUGCCAGCAUUUUUUCUUCUUCUACUGUCAGUUGAUAAUGUUCAAGUAAAUCUGGUCUGCGCUCGUAGGUUUUCUUUAAACUCUCGUACAAUCGCCACUGACGAAUCUUUUCAUGGUGGCCACUCAUCAAUACAUCUGGCACGACCAUGCCUCGAUAAUCAUAGGGACGUGUGUACUGAGGAUAUUCUAAAAGACCUGAAGAAAAACUAUCAUCUUGGUGGCUAGACUCCUUGCCAAUCACUUCUGGAAUCAGGCGAACUGUAGCAUCAAUCAUGGUCAUAGCUGCCAAUUCUCCACCAGUGAGGACAUAGUCGCCUAGGGAAAUCUCAUCUGUUACCAAGGUCUUAAUGCGCUCAUCAUAACCCUCAUAGUGCCCACAGAUAAAGAUUAGCUCUUCCUCUUGAGCCAAAUCUUCAGCAUAAGCCUGAUCAAACUGCUUUCCAGCAGGAUCGAGGAGAAUAACGCGCGGAUUUUUCUUUUCAAUAGCAUCAAAGGAAUUGAAAAUAGGUUGUGCUCUGAGCAACAUGCCCUGACCGCCUCCGUAGGGCUCAUCAUCUACAUGACGGGCCUUUUCAGCAUUUUCUCGAAAAUUAUGAUACUGGAUAUCCAAGAGCCCUUUUUCUCGAGCCUUUCCAACGAUUGAGUGCUCCAGUGGAGAAAACAUCUCUGGAAAGAGGGUUAAAAUAUCAAUCUUCAUCGUCUAACCCUUCUAAGAUUUCCACAUCGAUCCGUUUAUUUGGAAUAUCAACAUUGAGAACCACUGGUGGGAUAUAAGGUAAAAGCAAAUCACGUUUGCCUUUUCGUUUGACCACCCAGACAUCAUUAGCACCUGGUUGCAGGAUUUCCUUGAUGGUUCCAACCAAGCUAUCACCCUCAUAGACUUCCAAACCGAUAAUCUCGUGAUAGUAAAAUUCACCAUCGUCUAGGUCAUUCAAAUCUUCCUCAGCGACCUUGAGACUGUAUCCCUUGUACUUUUCGAUAGUAUUGAUAUGGUACAUAUCUUUGAAUUUAAUAAUGUCAAAGUUCUUCUGUUUACGGUGGCUAGCGAUGGUCACUGUUUGGACAAACUGAUCUUUUUCAUCAAACAAAGCCAGCUCAGCUCCUUUUUUAAACCGUUCUUCUGCAAAAUCCGUCACAGACAAGACUCGCAUCUCACCCUGUAAUCCCUGCGUAUUAACGAUUUUCCCAACAUUAAAGUAGUUCAUCUUGUCUCCUGUAAUCUCCUUUUUUCCAUCUUAUUCUGACAAUUCUCGAAUAAUAGCCGCAAUUUUUUCCGAUUCUGACCAUUGUAAAUAAUGGUGAUUCCUUCCUAAAAUGAGUUUAGUAUUGGAAGUCCAAUAUUCUGAUUCUCUGUACUCUUUUUCUCUAUAAGUCUGACAAAAAAUAAAUACAGGGACAUGAGAUUCUAUCGACAAAUUCUCAAAAUCUUCCUCAGUAAUCUCUCCAGAUAUCUGAAAUUCUGGAUCUUGAUUUUCCAACUCUAAGCCUUUUUCUUGCAUUAAUUCCCAGAUUUUUUUAUUCGUUUCAGGACUAAAUGUUGCUUGAGUUAAGUUCUUAAAAUAAAGUUCAGGACCACACUCGUCAAUCAGCCUCAUCUGCUCUUCCAUUUCUGGAUAAGGAUUUUCUGAAAAAUCAGCAAACAUGACUUUUUUAGUUGUCGGUUCAAUUGCUACUAAAGUCUGACGCUUAAUUGGUUUCUCGAGUAAUUUGCAAGCUAAAAUUCCACUCCAACUAUGUGCACAAAGUAUAUAUUCAGAAAUUCCUAAUUCUUCAAGUACUUCAUAAACCGCAUCUGCAAGAUUAUCUAGAUUUUUUCCAGCUUGGUCAUGAAUCGGACUCCUACCUGUGUUCGGAAAAUCAAUUGUCAAAUAACCAAUUGUAGGAGGAGGUUUUUCAAGUAUAAGUGAAAAAUUUUCAUAACUUGGUAGCAAACCUGCUCCGUUUAGACAAACUAGCACUUUCUUUUGCUUUUGAUAAGUAACAGAGAGGCUACCAAUUUCUGUAGAUACUUCAAACCUCUUCAUAAAGAAAUCCACUCAUUCUAUAUAAUGAAUUAUUAAAAAUCCUUAUCCUUUAUUUUAUCACGUUCCAAAGAUUUUCUCAAGUUGGAGGAAGGGGACAACAUCUCUACUUUCCCUUCAAGAAUCCUCCCAAAUCAUGUUUAUGUUGGUAAUUAACGGCUGCGGUUUUGUCUUUCUCAAAGAUGGUUCUAGUUAGGUCAAUAUGCUUGAUAGCAGCAAUAGCGACGGUGUAGUGAAUGAUAUCAGCCAGUUCUAUGGCAGGUUCCUCGUUCGAAUCCUAUCCCUUCUUUUCGACCAGAGCGCCUAUUCAAAACCUCGGCUACUUCUCCGACUUCCUCCACUAACUUCAUAAAGAGACCUUCAUCAGUCCGAGACUGCUGUUAAUGUUCGAGUAAGUAGUCUUGGAAUUGCCUAAACGUUCAAUCUUUUAUAGUAUAUUGAAACUAGAAUAGUACACCUUUACUUCUAAAACAUUGUUAGAAAUCGAUUUGACUGUCCUGAUCGAUUUGUCCUGUUAUUAUUUCAUUUUACUAUAUCUUCUAUUCCACACAAAAAAGCGAGACAUCCGUCCCGCCCUUCUUAUUUUUCGUCAAUAACGAUUCUUACUUUUUUGUAUUCAGUUGGGACAGAGUAGACAAUCGUUCUUAUCGCAGAAAUAGUGCGACCCUUACGACCGAUUACACGACCCACAUCGCUUUGAUCAAGAUUCAAAUGAUAUUCCAAAAAUUCUGGUGUAUCUUCAAUCUUGAUAGUUAAGGCAUCUGGUUGUGAAAUUAAGGGUUUUACAAUCGCAAUAAUGAGAUUUUCAAUCGUAUCCAUCUGUCAACCUACUUUAAACUUAUUUUGAGAAUUUAGAAUCGUGGAAUUUUUUCAAUACGCCUUCUUUUGAAAGGAUGUUACGUACUGUGUCUGAAGGUUGAGCUCCAUUAGCCAACCAUGCAAGAACGCGGUCUUCUUUCAAAGUUACUUGGUUUUCAGCAACAAGUGGGUUGUAAGUUCCANCAACAGGUUGAUAUUCCUGUACUAGAGUAUGUAGUGAUGGAGGGACGCAGUAGGCUAACUAAAGCAGACGAUUGGAAGAGUCUGUCUAAGCAGUGAGGUGUGAAUUGAGUCAAAUGCUUAAUUCUAUAACAUUGAGCUGUGAUGGGGAGCGAAGUUUAGUAGCGAAGUUAGUGACGUCACACUGCCAAGAAAAGCUUCUAGCGUUUAAACAUACUCUACCCGUACCGCAAACCGACACAGGUAGUCGAGGCGAGUAGCCUCAGGUGAGCGAGAGAACUCUCGUUAAGGAACUCGGCAAAAUGACCCCGUAACUUCGGGAGAAGGGGUGCUGACUUUAAGUCAGCCGCAGUGAAUAGGCCCAAGCAACUGUUUAUCAAAAACACAGCUCUCUGCUAAAUCGUAAGAUGAUGUAUAGGGGGUGACGCCUGCCCGGUGCUGGAAGGUUAAGAGGAGUGCUUAGCGUAAGCGAAGGUAUGAAUUGAAGCCCCAGUAAACGGCGGCCGUAACUAUAACGGUCCUAAGGUAGCGAAAUUCCUUGUCGGGUAAGUUCCGACCCGCACGAAAGGCGUAAUGAUUUGGGCACUGUCUCAACGAGAGACUCGGUGAAAUUUUAGUACCUGUGAAGAUGCAGGUUACCCGCGACAGGACGGAAAGACCCCAUGGAGCUUUACUGCAGUUUGAUAUUGAGUGUCUGUACCACAUGUACAGGAUAGGUAGGAGUCUAAGAGAUCGGGACGCCAGUUUCGAAGGAGACGCUGUUGGGAUACUACCCUUGUGUUAUGGCCACUCUAACCCAGAUAGGUGAUCCCUAUCGGAGACAGUGUCUGACGGGCAGUUUGACUGGGGCGGUCGCCUCCUAAAAGGUAACGGAGGCGCCCAAAGGUUCCCUCAGAAUGGUUGGAAAUCAUUCGCAGAGUGUAAAGGUAUAAGGGAGCUUGACUGCGAGAGCUACAACUCGAGCAGGGACGAAAGUCGGGCUUAGUGAUCCGGUGGUUCCGUAUGGAAGGGCCAUCGCUCAACGGAUAAAAGCUACCCUGGGGAUAACAGGCUUAUCUCCCCCAAGAGUUCACAUCGACGGGGAGGUUUGGCACCUCGAUGUCGGCUCGUCGCAUCCUGGGGCUGUAGUCGGUCCCAAGGGUUGGGCUGUUCGCCCAUUAAAGCGGCACGCGAGCUGGGUUCAGAACGUCGUGAGACAGUUCGGUCCCUAUCCGUCGCGGGCGUAGGAAAUUUGAGAGGAUCUGCUCCUAGUACGAGAGGACCAGAGUGGACUUACCGCUGGUGUACCAGUUGUCUUGCCAAAGGCAUCGCUGGGUAGCUAUGUAGGGAAGGGAUAAACGCUGAAAGCAUCUAAGUGUGAAACCCACCUCAAGAUGAGAUUUCCCAUGAUUAUAUAUCAGUAAGAGCCCUGAGAGAUGAUCAGGUAGAUAGGUUAGAAGUGGAAGUGUGGCGACACAUGUAGCGGACUAAUACUAAUAGCUCGAGGACUUAUCCAA
RNAcentral lists this ribosomal RNA (5438 nucleotides) under Streptococcus pneumoniae. Its description in RNAcentral is "23S ribosomal RNA". The stretch from base 3693 to 5438 matches the Rfam family "Bacterial large subunit ribosomal RNA". The record is from RNAcentral. Lineage: Bacteria; Bacillati; Bacillota; Bacilli; Lactobacillales; Streptococcaceae.